GAGUUGCUGUUGCCGUUUAAGUAGCAAAGUGUAACUUGCGGUGCUGUUCCUGGCUAGAUUACUUCAUUUUGCCGCUUUAAAAGAAAAAAUUGGUUUCGAUAUGACAGAUAAAAAGGAGAAAAUGAUGGACCUUGACAAAACAACAGAAGUUUUAAGUUUGAAAAAAAUUAACGAUGGAAAGGAAAUUAACGAUCUGAAUUUGAAAGCCCAGCACCCCUUUGAAGUAAUGUUGUACGUAAACCACUUUAAGUCUUCUGAAAUAAAAGUAGGAGUUGAUGGAAGAGUAGUCAUUGUGAAUGGUCAUCAUGAAGCUCGUACUGAUGCACAUGGAUUUAUCCGUCGAAAAUUUUCUUGCAAGUAUAAUUUGCCUAAAGACGUUAAGCCUGAAAAUUUACUUGCAAAUUUUACUGAAGACUGCAUCUUCACUAUCAAAGCUUACGACGAAAAGGAAUACAUGAAGCAUGAUGAUGAAAAUUUCGAUAUGACAGAUAAAAAGGAAAAAAUAUUGGACGGUGACAAAAAAACGGUAAAAACCCAGCACCCAUUCGAAGAAAGGUUGUACAUAAACCACUUUAAGUCUUCUGAAAUAAAUGUAGGAGUUUAUGGAAGAACAGUCAUUGUGAAUGGUCAUCAUGAAGCUCGUACUGAUACACAUGGAUUUAUCCGUCGAAAAUUUUCUCGCAAGUAUAAUUUGCCUGAAGCCGUUGAGCCUGAAAAUUUACUUGCAAUUUUUAAUGAAAACGGCAUCCUCACUAUCCAAGCUUACGAUGAAAAGGAAUACAAGAAGCACGAGGAUGAAAACUUUGAUGAACGAAGAAACCCUUUCGAGACUAAGGAAUUCAAAGAUGGGAAGAUGUUCUCACAGAAGUAUAAAGGUUUGAAAAACGAUGAAGUGAAAUUCAUUGGCGGAGUUACGCAGCUGCUCGAAAAGAAACAAUCCAUUGAGGAUCAGGAAACUAAGCCGGCCAAAGUCAAACCCUGCGUUACGGAUCUGGCCUCGAAGAGCGAUAAGUCGAAGCAGACACCCACCGCGGGUCAGGCUGAAAUAAAGACCCCCGCUACUGUUUAUUCUCCGAAGCUCGACGAAGUGAAGAAAGCUUCCGAUGCCGUUAAAGAUCCGAAGUCCGUCGUUGCGAAGCAGACUCCCGCCUCUGGUCUUUCCCCGAAAUCCGUCGUUGCGAAGCAGACUCCCGCCUCUGGUCUUUCCCCGAAAUCCGUCGUUGCGAAGCAGACUCCCGCCUCUGGUCUUUCCCCGAAAUCUGUCCAAACGAAGCAGACUCCCGCCUCGGGUCUUUCCCCGAAGUCUGUCCAAACGAAGCAGACUCCUGCCUCGUGUCUUUCCCCGAAGUCUGUCCAAACGAAGCAGACUCCUGCCUCGUGUCUUUCUCCGAAGUCCGUCCAAACGAAGCAGGCUCCUGCGUCUGGAGUUUCUUCGAAGUCCGUCCAAGGGAAGCAGACUGCCACCGCAGGUCAGGCUGAAGUAAAAUCUCUUGCAGCUGUUAAGUCUCCGAAGCCCGUCCGCGUGAUGAAGACUUCUGUCUUGGUUAAGGAUCCGAAGUCCAUUGAAAUGAAGAAGCCGGUCGGUGAGGGUCAAGCCUCAAAACCUGGCGAAAUGAGGCUCUGCAAGAUGCAAGCCUCAACGUCCGAUGACGGGAAACCAACCAGUACGAGUCAGGCCUCAAAGUCCCGUAGGAAGUCCGAUGAGAAGUCACCCAAGUCGACCACUGGGCAUGAAGAAAGGUGAAAAUUCUAGACCGUGAAGGCCAGGUGAGGAAAAGGCUGUCAACUAGUAGUAAAUAUCACGUAGAACUGCAAUGCAUGCAAUUUGAGUUUGAAACCACUGAUAUACUGCUACUAAACGCCUCGUAUCGGCUCGCGACAGUUCCAAGAACAUUACAGAAAUUGGACACUAUGUAUUUAAUAAGCGAAUAAAAG
RNAcentral lists this unclassified non-coding RNA (1935 nucleotides) under Stegodyphus dumicola. Its description in RNAcentral is "uncharacterized LOC118183547, transcript variant X3". The record is from RNAcentral. Lineage: Eukaryota; Metazoa; Arthropoda; Arachnida; Araneae; Eresidae.